GAUGCAUCUAGAUUAGCCUUUGAUCCUGGCUCAGGACGAACGCUGGCGGCGUGCCUAACACAUGCAAGUCGAACGGGGAUUUUGUUUCGGCAGAAUCCUAGUGGCGAACGGGUGAGUAACGCGUAGGCAACCUGCCCCCCGGCCGGGGACAACACGCCGAAAGGUGUGCUAAUACCGGAUACGAAGCGAGCACCGCAUGGUGCUUGUUUGAAAGACGGCCUCUAUUUAUAAGCUGUCGCCGGGGGAUGGGCCUGUGUUUUUAUUAGCUGGUUGGCGGGGUAACGGCCCACCAAGGCGACGAUCGGUAGCCGGUCUGAGAGGAUGGACGGCCACAUUGGGACUGAGACACGGCCCAGACUCCUACGGGAGGCAGCAGUGGGGAAUCUUCCGCAAUGGGCGCAAGCCUGACGGAGCACGCCGCGUGGGUGAGGAAGUUUUUCGGACGUAAGCCCUGUUGUUUAUGACGAACGGCCCUUCUGUGACAUGGAGGGAUGACGUAUAGACGAGAGCACGGCUACUACGUGCAGCAGCGCGGUAUACGUAGUGGCAGCGUGUCCGGAUUAUGGGCGUAAGGCAUGUAGCGGUAUGUAGUCUGUCUGACUGGGGCACCCCCUGCAUGACUGUUCUUUUGCGAAGAGGGACCCCUACGAUGUAUGAACUGAGCUUCGUUCAGACGAGACGCAUG
This 685-nucleotide ribosomal RNA is filed under the name uncultured bacterium. RNAcentral describes it as "bacterial SSU rRNA". It matches the Rfam family "Bacterial small subunit ribosomal RNA", at positions 1 to 826 of the family's 1533-position model. The record is from RNAcentral.